AGAUUAAGCCAUGCAUGCGUAAGUGCAUACCAGAUAUGGUGAAAACCGCGAAUGGCUCAUUACAUCAGUCGUAGUUUAUGGGACAAUACGACAAGUGGAUAACUGUGGAAAAUCUAGAGCUAAUACAUGCAUUAUUGUCCUGACGAAAGAAAGGACGCAUUUAUCAGAUCAAAGCCAAUGGUUUCUUCGGAAAUCUAAACUGUGAUGACUCUGGGUAAAUUAUCAGAUUGAUCUGCUUUAAAGCAGGCGACGUUGAUUGCAAGUGUCUGACCUAUCAACUUUGUUGGCAGUCGACAUUACUGCCAUGGUUGUAACGGGUAACGGGGAAUCAGGGUUCGAUUCCGGAGAGAGAGCAUGAGAAAUGGCUGUCACAUCCAAGGAAGGCAGCAGGCGCGCAAAUUACCCAAUCCCUGAUCGGGGAGGUAGUGACGAGAAAUAUCAGUACCGGCAUUUUGUUUGGUAAUUGAAAUGAGAACAAUGAAAGAAUUUUAUCGAGUACCUAUUGGAGGGCAAGUUCUGGUGCCAGCAGCCGCGGUAAUUCCAGCUCGAAGAGCGUAUGUUAAAAUUGCUGCGGUUAAAACGCUCGUCGUUGGACAUCAGGAAGAACUUUGCGGACGAUCGAGUAUCGUUUCCGUAGAGGUAUUCCUUUACACACCCUUUCUCUGUCGUGCACUUUAAUGUGUGGGAUAGUAGAUGGUGAUUGUCACUUUGAGAAAAUUAGUGUGCUCAACGCAGGCUUUACGCUUGUAUAAUACUGCAUGGGAUGACGGAAUAGGGCCUCGGUUCCGUUUCGUUGGUUUACGAAAGCAGAGGUCAUGAUUAAUCGGGACAGACGGGGGCAUUCGUAUUGUGGUGAUAGAAGUGAAAUUCUGUGACCAUCGCAAGACGAACAACUGCGAAAGCAUUUGCCAAGAAUGUUUUCAUUAAUCAAGAACGAAAGUUAGAGGAUCGAAAACGAUUAGAUACCGUCCUAGUUCUAACUGUAAACUAUGCCAACUGGGGAUUCGCCAGUGUUUACAAAAUUGGCGAGCACCCUCCGGGAAACCAAAGUGAUUGGGUUCCGGGGGGAGUAUGGUUGCAAAAUCGAAACUUAAAGGAAUUGACGGAGGGGCACACCAGAAGUGGAGCCUGCGGCUUAAUUUGACUCAACGCGCGAAAGCUUACUCGGUCCGAACACCGUGAGGAUUGACAGGUUGAAAGCUCUUUCUUGAUCCGGUGGGUAGCGGUGCAUGGCCGUUCGUAGUUGGUGAAGUGAUUUGUCUGGUUUAUUCCGAUAACGAACGAGACUCUAGCCUACUAAUUAGCGUGGCGAUUUAUCGUCGCCCCAAUGCUUCUUAGAGGGACAGGCGCAACUUUAAAGGCGCACGAAGUAGAGCAAUAACAGGUCUGUGAUGCCCUUCGAUGUUCGAGGCUGCACGCGCGCUACAAUGGAGGGCGCAACGAGCACUUUGCAUCUCGAAAGAGAUUUGCAGAAUCGCAAAUAGCCUUCAUGACUGGGAUCGGAGAUUGAAAUUAUUCUUCGUGAACGAGGAGUUCCUAGUAAGCGCGAAUCAUUACUUCGCGUUGAUUAAGUCCCUGCCCUUUGUACACACCGCCCGUCGCUACUACCGAUUGAAUGAUUUGGUGAGGUCUGUGGAUAGACGCGAUAUAUGGUGAAAGCCAUAUUGAGGUGUUUAAAAGCUGACCGAGCUUGAGCGUUUAGAGGAAGUAAAAGUCGUAACAAGG
RNAcentral lists this ribosomal RNA (1725 nucleotides) under Echinorhynchida sp. MGV-2008. RNAcentral describes it as "SSU rRNA". It matches the Rfam family "Eukaryotic small subunit ribosomal RNA". Lineage: Eukaryota; Metazoa; Acanthocephala; Palaeacanthocephala; Echinorhynchida. The record is from RNAcentral.